UGGGGAAUAUUGGACAAUGGGGGGAACCCUGAUCCAGCCAUGCCGCGUGUGUGAAGAAGGCCUUAUGGUUGUAAAGCACUUUAAGCGAGGAGGAGGCUCUUUUGGUUAAUACCCAAGAUGAGUGGACGUUACUCGCAGAAUAAGCACCGGCUAACUCUGUGCCAGCAGCCGCGGUAAUACAGAGGGUGCGAGCGUUAAUCGGAUUUACUGGGCGUAAAGCGUGCGUAGGCGGCUUUUUAAGUCGGAUGUGAAAUCCCCGAGCUUAACUUGGGAAUUGCAUUCGAUACUGGGAAGCUAGAGUAUGGGAGAGGAUGGUAGAAUUCCAGGUGUAGCGGUGAAAUGCGUAGAGAUCUGGAGGAAUACCGAUGGCGAAGGCAGCCAUCUGGCCUAAUACUGACGCUGAGGUACGAAAGCAUGGGGAGCAAACAGG
This 430-nucleotide ribosomal RNA is filed under the name Pseudomonadota bacterium. RNAcentral's name for it is "Proteobacteria bacterium partial 16S ribosomal RNA". It matches the Rfam family "Bacterial small subunit ribosomal RNA", at positions 355 to 776 of the family's 1533-position model. Lineage: Bacteria; Pseudomonadati; Pseudomonadota. RNAcentral also lists the same sequence under 1 other name. The record is from RNAcentral.